GCCCUAGUAGCUUAGACAUAAAGCGCCG
RNAcentral lists this transfer RNA (28 nucleotides) under Synodontis nummifer. RNAcentral describes it as "partial transfer RNA-Thr". Lineage: Eukaryota; Metazoa; Chordata; Actinopteri; Siluriformes; Mochokidae. The record is from RNAcentral.